This 480-nucleotide ribosomal RNA is filed under the name uncultured bacterium. Its description in RNAcentral is "partial 16S ribosomal RNA". It matches the Rfam family "Bacterial small subunit ribosomal RNA", at positions 28 to 523 of the family's 1533-position model. The record is from RNAcentral.
GACGAACGCUGGCGGCGUGCCUAACACAUGCAAGUCGAGCGAAUGAAGUUCCUUCGGGAACGGAUUUAGCGGCGGACGGGUGAGUAACACGUGGGCAACCUGCCUCAUAGAGGGGAAUAGCCUUCCGAAAGGGAGAUUAAUACCGCAUAAGAUUGUAGUACCGCAUGGUACAGCAAUUAAAGGAGCAAUCCGCUAUGAGAUGGGCCCGCGGCGCAUUAGCUAGUUGGUGAGGUAACGGCUCACCAAGGUGACGAUGCGUAGCCGAUCUGAGAGGGUGAUCGGCCACAUUGGGACUGAGACACGGCCCAGACUCCUACGGGAGGCAGCAGUGGGGAAUAUUGCACAAUGGGGGAAACCCUGAUGCAGCAACGCCGCGUGAGUGAUGACGGCCUUCGGGUUGUAAAGCUCUGUCUUCAGGGACGAUAAUGACGGUACCUGAGGAGGAAGCCACGGCUAACUACGUGCCAGCCGCCGCGGUAA